GAUGAACGCUAGCGGCAGGCUUAACACAUGCAAGUCGAGGGGUAGAAGGAGCUUGCUCCUUUGAGACCGGCGCACGGGUGCGUAACGCGUAUGCAAUCUACCUUUUGCAGAGGGAUAGCCCAGAGAAAUUUGGAUUAAUACCUCAUAGUAUGUGAGGAUGGCAUCAUUUUCACAUUAAAGUCACAACGGCAAAAGAUGAGCAUGCGUCCCAUUAGCUAGUUGGUAAGGUAACGGCUUACCAAGGCUACGAUGGGUAGGGGUCCUGAGAGGGAGAUCCCCCACACUGGUACUGAGACACGGACCAGACUCUACGGGAGGCAGCAGUGAGGAAUAUUGGACAAUGGGCGCAAGCCUGAUCCAGCCAUGCCGCGUGCAGGAUGACGGUCCUAUGGAUUGUAAACUGCUUUUGUACAGGAAGAAACGGUGAGCUCUAAUACAGUUUGCUAAUGACGGUACCGUAAGAAUAAGCACCGGCUAAC
RNAcentral lists this ribosomal RNA (479 nucleotides) under uncultured bacterium. RNAcentral describes it as "bacterial SSU rRNA". It matches the Rfam family "Bacterial small subunit ribosomal RNA", at positions 28 to 501 of the family's 1533-position model. The record is from RNAcentral.